UGAAAGGUUAACUCCAAGAUUCAAAGGUUAGAGCAUGAAAUUGAUAAAACUAGGGACCAUUUGCACUAAAAAGUUUAUGCAGGUGCAUAAUUAAUCGUAAAAUUAGACUGAAAGUGUCAAAAAGGAUGAUUUGUGUACUAAGUUGAUAGGUUACGGUUGAUUGCACAAUAACGCAAUAGAUUAGAUACAAACAGAUGUCUUGUCGUAACCCCAACCGCUCCAGUAUUCUUAUUUGUCAUCUGUCGUGUUUCCAUAUCCAUAUAUAUGUGGAGAGAGAGAGAGAGAGAGAGGAAAAACUGUCCAAAUUUCCAUUGCAGGAUCAGCUAUUGAUCAUUUAAUCUAUUUUUGAGAGAGAUGAGUGGUUUGCCAAGGUCAGAAAUAUCCUUUAGAAGACAAGGUUCUUCAGGGUUGGUAUGGGAUGACAAGUUAAAUUUGGAGGUGAAGAAGAAACACGAUCGAGAACCCGCGGUCGAACGGAGCCCAAGGGAAUAUGUAUAUCGAUCCAGGACAGUUACACCAGCAGCCGAACCGCCAUCUCCCAAGGUCUUCGGUUGCUGUGGCAUAUUUGGGAAGCCUCCCCAUCGUGAGUUAUAGUUGCUCUGCAUGCUGUUUAUGUUGUGUAUGAAAUAUCACAUUUUAGUUGAUGAAAAAGCUUUUAAUAAUAGUUACGUGUUGAAUAUGAAAAGUUCAAUUGCAUUUAGUUUCACACACUUGCACACAAUUCUCCUAAUUUCCAGGCUCGACUCUUUCUUUUUUUGGUUGAUGGAUUUUGAUGUGUAUAGCAAGAAGAACAUAUGUAAAGAAUCGAGCACGUAUUCAAGCCGUUAACUACGUAACAUAUGUACUGUUUGUUUUGGGAGGGUUUGCGCACAUUUUACCCUCCCGACGACUUUUUGUUGCUUCUUCAUAUCUCUAACAUUUACC
Molecule: long non-coding RNA, 924 nt
Filed under: Olea europaea subsp. europaea
Lineage: Eukaryota; Viridiplantae; Streptophyta; Magnoliopsida; Lamiales; Oleaceae
Source: RNAcentral